Long non-coding RNA from Oncorhynchus keta (chum salmon), 1083 nucleotides. RefSeq lists it as uncharacterized. Lineage: Eukaryota; Metazoa; Chordata; Actinopteri; Salmoniformes; Salmonidae. The record is from RefSeq and is a predicted model, not a curated record. The transcript is spliced from 4 exons.
GCAGAAGGGAUUGAUAGAGGGGACAGAACGUUACGAAGGGAUUGAUAUAGAGGGGACAGAAGGUUACGAAGGGAUUGAUAUAGAGGGGACAGAAGGUUAUGAAGGGAUUGAUAGAGGGGACAGAAUGUUACGAAGGGAUUGAUAGAGGGGACAGAAGGUUACGAAGGGAUUGAUAGAGGGGACAGAAUGUUAUGAAGGGAUUGAUAGAGGGGACAGAAUGUUACGAAGGGAUUGAUAGAGGGGACAGAAGGUUACGAAGGGAUUGAUAGAGGGGACAGAAUGUUACGAAGGGAUUGAUAGAGGGGACAGAACGUUACGAAGGGAUUGAUAGAGGGGACAGAACGUUACGAAGGGAUUGAUAGAGGACAGAACGUUACGAAGGGAUUGAUAGAGGGGACAGAACGUUAUGAAGGGAUUGAUAGAGGGGACAGAAGGUUACGAAGGGAUUGAUAGAGGACAGAACGUUACGAAGGGAUUGAUAUAGAGGGGACAGAAGGUUAUGAAGGGAUUGAUAGAGGGGACAGAACGUUACGAAGGGAUUGAUAUAGAGGGGACAGAACGUUACGAAGGGAUUGAUAGAGGGGACAGAACGUUACGAAGGGAUUGAUAUAGAGGGGACAGAACGUUAUGAAGGGAUUGAUAGAGUGGACUGAUAUAGAGGGGACAGAAGGUUAUGAAGGGAUUGAUAGAGGGGACAGAACGUUAUGAAGGGAUUGAUAGAGGGGACAGAAGGUUAUGAAGGGAUUGAUAGAGGGGACAGAACGUUAUGAAGGGAUUGAUAGAGGGGACAGAACGUUAUGAAGGGAUUGAUAGAGGGGACAGAACGUUACGAAGGGAUUGAUAGAGGGACAGAACGUUACGAAGGGAUUGAUAGAGGACAGAACGUUAUGAAGGGAUUGAUAGAGGGGACAGAACGUUAUGAAGGGAUUGAUAGAGGGGACAGAACGUUAUGAAGGGAUUGAUAGAGGGGACAGAACGUUAUGAAGGGAUUGAUAGAGGGGACAGAACGUUAUGAAGGGAUUGAUAGAGGGGACAGAACGUUACGAAGGGAUUGAUAGAGGACAGAACGUUACGAAGGGAUUG